UAGUUUUGUUAGUACUUGAUUUGCGAAAAAUAUUUUUGCCAAGCCACUUUAAUGCCGACUAACCGCCAAAAACGGUUAAUGUUGAAAUUUCGCCUUCGCACUUCCACUAGCUGAGUAACGGGUAUCAGCGUUCUCUCUUGUUUUUUAUAAUAUUUUUUGUGCGACAAGGUCGAAAAUGAGGCGAAAAGCACCACUAUCUACUUUUUUUAAAUAUUCAAUACCUGUCGGAGGCUUGUUUUGCUUAUUAACAUGGUUAAAAAUCUUGACAGUUGUAUUCCUGUUUCCAACAUUAUUUUUUAAAAAAGGAACCUUAAAAGAAUUAUUAAAAUGAGACGUGAAAACAUUGCACUUUAGAUAAACGUGAGAUGAUCAAAGAAACGAAAUUCUGAAGGAAAAUCAUACAGAAAUAUUGGUCGAAUCUUUCAAUGCUCGAACAAAAUGAUACGUAAUGCAACCACCUGAAACGAGAAGCUCGAAACACGAGGAAGAAAACAAUCACUGGGCACCCAUCACUUCAAAAGGCUAGCGCAAAAACAAGAAGGAUCCAGUUAAAGCUGCUACCGAACUGAAAAAGGAUCUCAGAAUUAACACAACAGUGCAAACUUUUCACACGUGUCUCUGGGAAAAUUCUUUAAAAUGCUGUAAUCUAAGGAAAGUCCUUUUUUAACCCUGCACCGCAUACAGAGCCAUAUAUGGUUUCUCACUUUCAAAAAUUUUUUUUGGUGAUAAAACGGUACAUACGCUCAUUCAUUGUUAACAGGUUUUCUUCUUUGCAUUAUUUUCAGUUGGAAUUCCAUGUGCAGAACUUUUUCAUGUUGCCUUCCCUCGCGUUUUAAUCGCGUUUAACCUCAAGCAGACGAACGAAAUUGAAUAUUGCUGUAUUUGAAAAUUAAUUUACUCUAUUAAAAAACACCGUUAGCGCUUGAAACUAUUUUUUUUCGAAAAGAAUAUAAUGUUUUCUUGAUAUAUAAUUUGACUAUUCGGUAAGCAUUUUAGGUAAUAUUUUUUGCAAGAAACUGCUGACGCCAUAUAUGGCUGUAUAUGCAGCCAAGUAGUCAACAUUAUUUCUACUUAUGUAUGUGGGAAGCAAUCCUGUUUCAACAAAAAAGCGAUACAGUAAGAAAGACAAAAAGUAUAUAGAAAUCGAGUCUCCUAAGGCAGUUGAUGUUUACUAUCACCAUAUGGGUGGCGUUGAUUUACUUGAUUCUUUACUGGGACUUUAUAGAAUUCAAUUGCGUUCAAGAAAAUGGUAUAAAAAAAUUUUUUUCCACAUGAUUGCAUGUGCGUGGUUAAUUCGUGGAUUUUAUACCGUCGCAGGAAAAGUAAAGAAGCGCGGGCGUCCUGGGAUGACUCCAACUGCAUCGCCGACUACAAGCAGGGAAGGUACUCCUUCUACCAGAAAGCAAAUGAGGCACCAGGAUUUUCCCUUUAAUUCGGUUCGAGAGGACACAAUUGGACAUUUGCCCACUUGAAAAAAAAAAUAGGAAACUCUGCCAAAACGAUUGUUCCUUCCGAUCAUUCACCUUUUGCGAGAAAUGCAAUGUAUUUUUAUGUUAUAAUGAGAAAAGAAACUGUUUUGCCGGCUUUCACAUGAUUGCAUAGAAAGCCAUAUAUGGCAAACUUUGAAAUAUGUUCAUUUUUUUUUCCCCCAAACUAAGGCCCCAAAAUAAAAAAUUUUCCAGAUAUAUGUUAUUUUCAUCAUCAUAAAUAAAACAAUAUUUACAUAAAUCAAUAUUUCUAUGCUCAUGCAGUAGAGGGUUAAAUGGGACCCACAUACCCAAGCGCAUUAAGUUCGCUAAGGAACAUUUAAAUUGUAAGUUUACAGUCAAAUGACAGCAAGGUAGUUAUUUUUGGUGCCAAUGGAUCUCUAUCGUAUGUAAAGCGAACUAAGAACACCAAAUAUAAGCAGUAGAAACACAGUAUAAUGGAAUGGGCUUCUAUCUCUUACUAUGGAGUUGGGGCAAUACAUUGGAUAAAAACCAUCAUGGAUCAACAUGUGCAUGUUGAUAUUUUGGAGACCGUGAUGCUACCCUUUGCCGAAUACGAUAUGACGCUAAAACGGGUCGUCAAACAAGACUAUGACCCCAGGAACACCAGCAGGAAAGCCAACGAUUGGUUCCAAAAUAAAUCAGUUCCUGUUUUGGGGUGGCCUGCGCAAUCCUCAGACUGUAAUCCCAUCGAAAACCACUCGCCGGACAUUAGAAAAGCAGUUGCAGCUUCUAACCCAACUAACAACUAAUUAAGGAGUGCUGUAGCAAAAUAUCCCUAAAACGGUGCCAGGACCUGCUUGAGUCCAUGCCAAAACGUUGCACCUGAUUUUGGUAAUAAGGGAUACACUAGCAUAUAUUAAAUUAGUGGUAUGGGAAGAGUUUUAAUAAGCAAAUAUUUCUUAUUAGUGAAUUUCUUACUAUUAGGUUUAAAACUAAAAAUUUAAGCAUUUUUUUUAUUUUUUGCCUAAUUGUGUCGUUCAUAAUAAAGGUCCCUUGUUUACCCUUUUAAAAAGGUAAUUAGCUCAUUUUAAACCCUAAAUUGUAGGUAGGGGACAUAUUCAAACUUUUAUUGGGCAAGUGGUGCUAUUUGAUUUAUCGCAGCUGUAAGUAUAGUUAUGGAAUUGAUCGAAAUACUGUUCGCUUUAAAAUCAGAGUUCAGUUUGUGGGAAAUCGAUUUGGGCAUUAAGAUGGUUGUGCCACCGAAUGCAUUCGAACAGAAGUUUCAGUACAUUUUAAAGUUUAUGGAAAUAGGGAGGGAUGAUGUGUGGGUUUCCUUAAGAGCAAUGAUGUGUUUAACCCAUUUAAAUUAGUAUUUUAAGUUGGGAGUGCUACCAAUUGUAAGGGCAGUUUUGUUAUCGGAUUUAUUUGUGAUUUCUUGUUGUGUUUUGAAGACUGGGCAUGUUCUUUUUUUGGAGUUGUGGGUGUAUACGGUCUGUUCUUCGUUACAGUUUGUGCAUUUUGUACACUUUUCAGUAGUAUUUGGGUCGAGGUGGUAGUCGUCGCGGAAGUUUUAGCAAGACUUGUUGUUAUUACAAGUUUGGUAUAAUUGCCCAAAUCCAAAGCAGUUAUUACAUCUUGUUACAUACACAAUUAUUGUUUUUCUUGAUAGCCAAACAUUAUAUAUUAAGGGAGUUCGUGAGAAUAAAUGUCAAUAUAACAAGGCCGGUUUCAUUGAGAUUUCCAUUUUCUUUUCAAAAUUUUUUUUAUUUUAGUUACAUGUUUAUGUGGAAGUUCUUAGUAUAACAUUUUCGGUUGUUCCUUGCAGAUCAUUUAAGUGGAUUACCCCUUUUGUUGAGUUAAGAGAGUUGUGGAGACUUAUGGUAACUUAUGGGAGCAACAGAUUUUAGAUGCAUAAGUCUUUUAGCCUGACUUCUACUCCGCAGGUGCAAUCUAUUUGUUUUUUGAUUAGAAAUGGAGAUACAUUUGUAAUGUCGAGAACUGGAUCGGAUCUGGAUAUACUAAUGAAUUUGGUUCAUGGUCGGCCCUCAGUCGGGCGGAUCUGCCAUCUUGGUGUUGCUGUUUAUAUGUCGCGCAGGUUAUUUUUCGGUUGUUUUAAUUUACUAGUGCCGGUUGUAACUGUAGAUAUUAAGAUUUAUUGUUUGUUUUGGCUUGGCAAAACUAUGACACAACUGAACUCAAGAAGAGUACGAUUGUGACAACGAUGGCAAGAAAUGUAAUUAUUAGUUAUAAUUUAAGAUAAACUGCGUGCAUAAGUAAACAAGAAAAAGAAAGUUCCUAAUAAAUGAAUCCUUGGCUUCCUUGUGGGGCGCCGGAUGUGACUCGGAGAAUACAAGAACCAGUAUUUUUGAAAAAUCGGGCCCUUUUGCUUCGGCCAUUCAAAUAACUUAAAAUUCGGUUUAAAUAAUUAUUUAGGAACGUAAGGAAUUUAGUUCCCUUUUCUGGAAUGAAUGAUUAACAUAGUCAAAUGAUAAACUUAUGUAAGUGAAAUUUACAUGUUUUUAAGUUAUUUUUUAAAUAAUUUAUUACAAAGGAAGUACGUUCCGAAGGCUCAGUGGUCGUUGAUCUGCAUUUUAUAACACCGUGCUGACAUGGUGAUGCUGCACAUGGGUAGGGAUAAUUUCUUGCAUCCAAUUUGUUCCUUUCUUUUAAUGUAAAGAAAUCAUAAUCGACUGUUUAAAUAUAUGAGGGAACUCAUAGAAGUGGCUUGCACAAGGCUGCCACACAGAACCUAUGCACCCAUCAAGGAAAUUCGUCGGGAAAUAGAAAAUAGACAAGCUUAACACGCUGAAGAUCCGAAAUAAGAGGGCUUUUGUUUAGAAAGGAACAAAAUAUUAAAUUCGACUUAGAUAUAUCGAGCACGCCGUCCAUCAACUUAUCUUGUGCUAUAGGGGAAGAGGUUUUUGAUUUUGCUUUUAUGUAGAACGCAUAACCAAGUAUAUAAAUCUCAUAUAAAUAAGAUAAGAUAAAAUAUAUUGGGAAUUUAGAAGACGCAGAAUAUAAACGCAACUGAAAUAAAAAAAACUAUCGGAAAGUGAAAGCCCUACGUAUGUGAACUCCCCUUCUGAGGGGACAUUUCGGGCAUGUAUAUUGUGUACAUAUCUGGGAACACUUCGGAGUUGAGGAUCUCCGGCAGUGGUCUAACUAGAUGAGAGAAGCUUAAUUACCACGGGCCCUUUUAACUUCGAGCUCUUUUACCACCGUAGUAUCUGGCGGAAAAUCAUUAGAACAUAUCUUGGAAAAAAACUCGUUAAGGACAGUUGUCCUGAGAUAUGAUGCUUUUAUUUUGUCUUGUAUAUAAGACACAACAUCAGAUGAUGUUUAAUCAGGGGAAAGUAGAGAAACGAAAAUUAGUUUUGGAACCACCGAUGAAUUUUGGACUGCACAUUGUGCUUCUGAAGGGACCCUGGUUGUCAACCCAGUGAAGAUAAAUCAGAAUCUCUAGCAAUCUCAAGCUACAUACCCUCUACCACUGAUUUAGCUGCCUUUGAGUGUUUGCUGCUAUUGACAACUGAUCACUUGGCUGAGGCUGCGGGCUUACGCCCAGAAUCUGUUUUGCGCUUCGGAGAUUUCUCUAAUAGCAUAAGGCUGUUAUACCCGCACGAAAACUCUCUCUAGCUACGCCAUAGCUGAUCAGCAUCAGCCCCUGCAAGUUGUCUUUUAAAAUAUUAUUAUGCUCGUUACUUGUACAGUGAAAGGGUGUAUAAGAUUCGGUGGAAAGUAGGUUAUAGGUAGAAUGUAUAGAGUGUAUACAUAUAUUCUUGAUCAGAAACCUAUGCAAGCUAGAGAUUAGACAUUUAGAUUCCAGAAGAGCAUCGCAAGUUUGUGAACUGAUGUUGCCACGCCCAGUCGAACGGCCAGAAGCUGUUCAAACCUGCUACUCACACACUUUUCAAAGUUUUUGUUGAUGGAGUUUUGAAUUCUAUUCCAGUAUCUAAGGUAGCCAUUAAUAACCUAUCUUAGAGAAUUAUAUCUUCCACGUUCCAAUGUAUGCAGAUUACGUUUUGACUCACAGUUAUGACUGCAGGAAGAAUGGAUAAAUAUAAGUAAAUGGUGAUCAUAAUAUACUUUUUCUAAACCCUCAUAAAUGCAACUUUAUUUCUUUUUAUCUAAGAAAUUUUUUUCUCGGGUCCAAGGCCAAUCCUCUUGAACGUAAGAAUUUUGCAACAGAUCAAGGAAUAAUAUUUACUCACAACCAAAAAUUUUCCAAUCACAUUGGCAUUUUUGUUAUAAAGCAAAAGUAGUAUUUUCACUUCUCAAGCACUAGUCUAAUAAGUUUGAAGAUUCCUGUCAGAGCAACUCCUAAUUUUUGGCCUAUUUUUUGAAAUGUCUGCAAAUCAAAUUUUAGGGAGCAAAAUCCUAUCCGUGUUUUAUGUGCUCUGUAUAAUAAUACUUCUUGUAUUAUAUUGUUAACUUAGCUUGGAUGGGCAAAUACACUAUUUGUAUGAUAUAUCAAUAUUCUAGUUCCAAAGAUCCAGGUACAUACGGACCGACGGACAUGUCCAGUCGGCUAUUGAUCUUGAUCAGCAAUAUAUACUUUUUUUAUGGUCGCUUCCUUCUGCCUGUUACAUACUUAGUAACAUUGACUGGUAUAAAUCUCAAUAAACUCAACAAAAAUUUGUGAAACCAAA
Drosophila yakuba is the source of this 6079-nucleotide long non-coding RNA. RefSeq lists it as uncharacterized. The record is from RefSeq and is a predicted model, not a curated record. NCBI's taxonomy places the organism in Eukaryota, Metazoa, Arthropoda, Insecta, Diptera, Drosophilidae. The transcript has 2 exons.